AGAGUUUGAUCCUGGCUCAGAUUGAACGCUGGCGGCAUGCCUUACACAUGCAAGUCGAACGGCAGCACGGAGCUUGCUCUGGUGGCGAGUGGCGAACGGGUGAGUAAUAUAUCGGAACGUACCCUAGAGUGGGGGAUAACGUAGCGAAAGUUACGCUAAUACCGCAUACGAUCUAAGGAUGAAAGUGGGGGAUCGCAAGACCUCAUGCUCGUGGAGCGGCCGAUAUCUGAUUAGCUAGUUGGUAGGGUAAAAGCCUACCAAGGCAUCGAUCAGUAGCUGGUCUGAGAGGACGACCAGCCACACUGGAACUGAGACACGGUCCAGACUCCUACGGGAGGCAGCAGUGGGGAAUUUUGGACGAUGGGCGAAAGCCUGAUCCAGCAAUGCCGCGUGAGUGAAGAAGGCCUUCGGGUUGUAAAGCUCUUUUGUCAGGGAAGAAACGGUGAAAGCUAAUAUCUUUUGCUAAUGACGGUACCUGAAGAAUAAGCACCGGCUAACUACGUGCCAGCAGCCGCGGUAAUACGUAGGGUGCAAGCGUUAAUCGGAAUUACUGGGCGUAAAGCGUGCGCAGGCGGUUUUGUAAGUCUGAUGUGAAAUCCCCGGGCUCAACCUGGGAAUUGCAUUGGAGACUGCAAGGCUAGAAUCUGGCAGAGGGGGGUAGAAUUCCACGUGUAGCAGUG
RNAcentral lists this ribosomal RNA (680 nucleotides) under uncultured bacterium. Its description in RNAcentral is "bacterial SSU rRNA". It matches the Rfam family "Bacterial small subunit ribosomal RNA", at positions 8 to 683 of the family's 1533-position model. The record is from RNAcentral.